UACGUAGGUGGCGAGCGUUAUCCGGAAUUAUUGGGCGUAAAGAGCGCGCAGGUGGUUGAUUAAGUCUGAUGUGAAAGCCCACGGCUUAACCGUGGAGGGUCAUUGGAAACUGGUCGACUUGAGUGCAGAAGAGGGAAGUGGAAUUCCAUGUGUAGCGGUGAAAUGCGUAGAGAUAUGGAGGAACACCGGUGGCGAAGGCGGCUUACUGGACGAUUACUGACGUUGAGGCUCGAAAGCGUGGGGAGCAAACAGGAUUAGAUACCCUGGUA
RNAcentral lists this ribosomal RNA (269 nucleotides) under uncultured prokaryote. Its description in RNAcentral is "partial 16S ribosomal RNA". It matches the Rfam family "Bacterial small subunit ribosomal RNA", at positions 524 to 792 of the family's 1533-position model. The record is from RNAcentral.